This is a non-coding RNA of Bos taurus (domestic cattle), 72 nucleotides long. NCBI's taxonomy places the organism in Eukaryota, Metazoa, Chordata, Mammalia, Artiodactyla, Bovidae. The record is from Rfam.
UCCCUGGUGGCUCAGAGGUUAAAGCAUCUGCCCCCAAUGCAGGAGACCCAGGUUCGAUCCCUGGGUCGGGAA